ACGUAGGGGGCAAGCGUUAUCCGGAUUUACUGGGUGUAAAGGGAGCGUAGACGGGCCAGCAAGUCUGAUGUGAAAACCCGGGGCCCAACCCCGGGAGUGCAUUGGAAACUGCGGGCCUGGAGUGCCGGAGAGGUAAGCGGAAUUCCUAGUGUAGCGGUGAAAUGCGUAGAUAUUAGGAGGAACACCAGUGGCGAAGGCGGCUUACUGGACGGUAACUGACGUUGAGGCUCGAAAGCGUGGGGAGCAAACAG
Molecule: ribosomal RNA, 251 nt
Filed under: uncultured bacterium
Lineage: Bacteria
Description: partial 16S ribosomal RNA
Rfam family: Bacterial small subunit ribosomal RNA
Source: RNAcentral